GACGAACGCUGGCGGCGUGCCUAAUACAUGCAAGUUGAGCGCUGAAGGUUGGUACUUGUACCGACUGGAUGAGCAGCGAACGGGUGAGUAACGCGUGGGGAAUCUGCCUUUGAGCGGGGGACAACAUUUGGAAACGAAUGCUAAUACCGCAUAAAAACUUUAAACACAAGUUUUAAGUUUGAAAGAUGCAAUUGCAUCACUCAAAGAUGAUCCCGCGUUGUAUUAGCUAGUUGGUGAGGUAAAGGCUCACUAAGUCGAUGAUACAUAGCCGACCUGUGAGGGUGAUCGGCCACAUUGGGACUGAGACACGGCCCAAACUCCUACGGGAGGCAGCAGUAGGGAAUCUUCGGCAAUGGACGAAAGUCUGACCGAGCAACGCCGCGUGAGUGAAGAAGGUUUUCGGAUCGUAAAACUCUGUUGGUAGAGAAGAACGUUGGUGAGAGUGGAAAGCUCAUCAAGUGACGGUAACUACCCAGAAAGGGACGGCUAACUACGUGCCAGCCGCCGCGGUAA
This 513-nucleotide ribosomal RNA is filed under the name uncultured bacterium. RNAcentral describes it as "partial 16S ribosomal RNA". It matches the Rfam family "Bacterial small subunit ribosomal RNA", at positions 28 to 523 of the family's 1533-position model. The record is from RNAcentral.